Molecule: ribosomal RNA, 449 nt
Filed under: uncultured bacterium
Lineage: Bacteria
Description: partial 16S ribosomal RNA
Rfam family: Bacterial small subunit ribosomal RNA
Source: RNAcentral
AGCGAACGCUGGCGGCAGGCUUAACACAUGCAAGUCGAGCGGGCCCUUCGGGGUCAGCGGCGGACGGGUGAGUAACGCGUGGGAACGUGCCUUCUGGUUCGGAAUAACUCAGGGAAACUUGAGCUAAUACCGGAUACGCCCUUUUGGGGAAAGGUUUACUGCCGGAAGAUCGGCCCGCGUCUGAUUAGCUAGUUGGUGGGGUAACGGCCUACCAAGGCGACGAUCAGUAGCUGGUCUGAGAGGAUGAUCAGCCACACUGGGACUGAGACACGGCCCAGACUCCUACGGGAGGCAGCAGUGGGGAAUAUUGGACAAUGGGCGCAAGCCUGAUCCAGCCAUGCCGCGUGAGUGAUGAAGGCCUUAGGGUUGUAAAGCUCUUUUAUCCGGGACGAUAAUGACGGUACCGGAGGAAUAAGCCCCGGCUAACUUCGUGCCAGCAGCCGCCGUAA